CAACCCGAUGCAAACUGCGAAUACCGGAGAAUGUUAUCACGGGAGACACACGGCGGGGGCUAACGUCCGUCGUGAAGAGGGAAACAACCCAGACCGCCAGCUAAGGUCCCAAAGUCAUGGUUAAGUGGGAAACGAUGUGGGAAGGCCCAGACAGCCAGGAUGUUGGCUUAGAAGCAGCCAUCAUUUAAAGAAAGCGUAAUAGCUCACUGGUCGAGUCGGCCUGCGCGGAAGAUGUAACGGGGCUAAACCAUGCACCGAAGCUGCGGCAGCGACGCUGAUGCGUUGUUGGGUAGGGGAGCGUUCUGUAAGCCUGUGAAGGUGUGCUGUGAGGCAUGCUGGAGGUAUCAGAAGUGCGAAUGCUGACAUAAGUAACGAUAAAGCGGGUGAAAAGCCCGCUCGCCGGAAGACCAAGGGUUCCUGUCCAACGUUAAUCGGGGCAGGGUGAGUCGACCCCUAAGGCGAGGCCGAAAGGCGUAGUCGAUGGGAAACAGGUUAAUAUUCCUGUACUUGGUGUUACUGCGAAGGGGGGACGGAGAAGGCUAUGUUGGCCGGGCGACGGUUGUCCCGGUUUAAGCGUGUAGGCUGGUUUUCCAGGCAAAUCCGGAAAAUC
This 610-nucleotide ribosomal RNA is filed under the name Escherichia coli. Its description in RNAcentral is "bacterial LSU rRNA". It matches the Rfam family "Bacterial large subunit ribosomal RNA", at positions 940 to 1551 of the family's 2925-position model. The record is from RNAcentral. Lineage: Bacteria; Pseudomonadati; Pseudomonadota; Gammaproteobacteria; Enterobacterales; Enterobacteriaceae.